Molecule: RNA transcript, 3664 nt
Organism: Hevea brasiliensis (rubber tree)
Lineage: Eukaryota; Viridiplantae; Streptophyta; Magnoliopsida; Malpighiales; Euphorbiaceae
Exons: 9
Source: RefSeq, a predicted model, not a curated record
CUGUGGCAGGACGCACUUCAGACACAAUCCAAUCCAGUUCAAGCUCCUUGCUUCUGUUCUCUCUCUUUCUCUUCCACUCGGCGUAGCACUUCAUAUACGAUCCAGUAUCUUGUUUUGGGGUGCACACCGUUUUGAAAGUUCUGGUGUUUUUUUUUUUUAUGAGUCGGGAGUAAAGGAAAGAAGGCAACUUCCAGGCAUUUUAAGGACAACCGGGCCAAAUUUCGUUUAUAAAGCUGUUUGAGAGUUGGCAUGUAGGUCUCAUCCACAUCAAGUUCAUAGAGAUACCAGUUACAUAUGCUUGGAGAUUAUGUAGGACUAGCACUGGAAGUGGUUUAUAUCUGGAGUCAUUCAGGUCCCAUUUGAUUCUGCUAUCUCAAAGGAAAGGGAUUGCCUACUGGGGAAUUUAUCCAACAAAGAUGAAUGAUGAUAAAAACAUAAUUUUAGCCUUGCUCUGGGUUAUUCCAAUCAGUGCGUUCAGAUAAUUUUGAACAAUGAGGAUCCUGGUGCAGGUGCAAAUGCAGCUUCAAGGGUAGACAUGACAUUUGUGGCCACCGACCGCCUGUCCGAGCUAGUUUGGUCUCCCCAGAAAGGUUUGAGUCUUAGGUAUGCUGAUGGAAGUUUCUCCAACAAGAAGCCCUCUCUUUUAUGGGGUGUAGGACCUACCAAUAUGGCAAGUGGAUCAAGUUAUGAUAUACCUCUCUUAAAUACUGACAAAACUAUCAACAAAAAAAAUUUUAUGGCAUCUCUGGCAGCAAGUAAUAUGGGAAGUGAAGUGGCAGGAGGAGAUGACUCCGCUAUAUUUCCUACAGGUAUCAUGCCACCAAGUGGAUCAGGUCAUGAACUCAAGACUGACGGGCCUGGGCUGGAAGUGGCACAAAAUGAUCAAAAGGAACCUACUGGCAGCUUUACAAAUGUCGGUGAUGGAAAUCAUGCAUUUGGAAUGGAAAUUGUUUUGGCCUCUGAAAUUCAUGGCGUGAAAGAAUGUGAAGCUCACGAUACUAAAAUGCAGAAUGCAGGAAAAGGACACGCGGAAUCAACUUCAGUUUUCGGAAAAGAAUGCAAAAAUACAAUUGUCAUGAGCCCUCCUGGAAUUUUUCCUUUGGGAAAAUUGGAGUCAACUGCUGAGAAUGAUUUAGAAAUUCCACUUGGUGAAAAUGUUUAUGGUCUGACAACUAAGAUUGUAACAUUGGAAUCUGCUGAUAGAGUUGAAAAUAACACUCAGCUGGAUGAUGAGUUACCACCUACAGACAAGACUCUGGUAGUUAAACAGUCUCCCACUAACAGCACAAUCAAAAGGGAUAAGAAAGGCAAGUGUAAGGCCUUAUCUGAUGGAGAUGCAAAUGAAAUGACGUUGAAUGAGGAGGAUGGAAGCCAUGAGAGUGUUGAAAGCUGUAACAGCACUGGGCUAUUUUCAACAGGAAAACGGGGAUGGAACUUUGAGCAACAAUUGAUUGUAGGAAGCAAAAGAGUAAAAAGGCAAAUCCAAGAAGGUCCCAGUUCUUCAUCAAUCAUUACACAAGAUAGCUCAUUCAUGAAUUGGAUCUCAAACAUGAUGAAGGGUUUCUCGAAAUCAAGUGAAGGUGAGGUACCUUCUCUUUCUCCUACCCUUGCAAAUUGCAAUCAUGGACAUGAGAAUCCUGAUCAGGAUCUUAUCACAUGCAAUAGAAACAAAGAUCCUGGGUGCAGAACUAUAGGAUUUCAAUCCAUUUUUCAGUCUUUGUAUUGCCGAAAGACAACUACUCAAGAAGCUGCUGCGUUGAAUGUUGAUCAUCCAACAGAAGGAUUGAAAGAACAUGAGCUGGAUAAUAAGAUAUGUGACUUGAAUGCUACUCCAAUAGCUUGUCGUAUGGUGACCGGUAAUGUUUACAAACGGUUUCUGCCAUCAAAUGAUAGGUUCAAUGAGUCUGCAUCUGGCAAUCAAGCUAGUCCAGUGAUCAAUUCUAAAGAUUUAUCUAUGAACUUUGCUGACAUUCAGGAAAAUAACAGGAGUAACUCUACAGUGAACAAAAAUUCAUGCAAUUUGGCAACUGAUAAUGAGAAAGAUGGAACAGGCUCCAAUUCUUCUCAGGGUAAACAUAAGACAUACAGUAUUGAGAAAAUUGAUUCUGAACCACCAUUUGAAGGAAAGAUAGCCUGUAAGUUUGGUCACAAAGGUGACCCAUUGGAAAGUUUGUUGAUAGCUCGGUUUUCUCCAAAAAAGUCUGGUCCUUUGUUGAACCAGGAUCCUUCCAAAAGAAGUACUGGUGAGGCUCUCGACUGCUCUUCUGAUGGCCGGAGGCAGAAACCUCAAAUGCUGAACCCUCUUGUUUCUUUUGAUGAGCAUGAAAAUGAAGAGCCUCAGCAUGAGGGAAAUAGUGGUACUGCUACUGACUCUUCAUUUGGUUCCUCUAAAAUCAAAGGACUCCAUGAUGAGAAGUCCAUGUAUAAACUGAAACCUAUCAUACCUGCCCCAAGAUUCAAAAAUUCGGAGGCAAUGGCUUCUGUCUUUGCUGGGAGACUGGACGCCCUCAACCACUUUGCUCCAUCAGAUGAACCAGCUCAUGCAAUCAUGACCUGCCUUUUUUGUGGCAUAAAGGGUCACCAUUUGCAAGAAUGUUCAGGGAUAACUGAUACUGAGCUUGAAGAUCUUCUGAGAAAUAUUAAUUCAUAUAAUGGGGUAAAAGAAUUGACUUGUGUGUGUAUCAGAUGCUUUCAGCUCAACCAUUGGGCUGUUGCAUGUCCUGGUGCAUGUUCAAGAGUAAGGAAUCAAGCAGAAUGUGAUGCUUCUUUGGUCAACCAAUGCGGUCCUAGCAAAAUGGAGUUUAAUGCAAGAAAUGAAGACAAUACAAGGAUAAAAGAUACUACUGCUGGUCCACUUGCAGUUUGUGACAGGAAUGAUUCUGCAAUGGAGAAAAAUCUGAAUUUGACCUGGAAAUUGAAUGAAGCUGUUAAUUCUGGAAAAAUAAAAUUGAAUGUAAAAUUUGUUGGCAAAGAAAUUGCUUCAAGUUCCAGGGAGAAAAAGUUGAAAGAAAACCUACUGGCACCUUUAUGUGAAUCUGGCAAGGGCCAGAUUUCUGAAGUACCAAAGGGAAUCUUUGAUGCCAUAAGAAAGCUUCGUUUGUCCCGAACAGAUAUUCUCAAAUGGACAAACUCCCACAUGCCACUCCCACAUCUUGAUGGUUUCUUCUUGCGCUUGCGUCUUGGGAAGUGGAAAGAGGGACUUGGGGAAACUGGAUAUUAUGUAGCUUGCAUUAUUGGAGCACAAAUGGAGAGUUCACCACAUAAAUCCAAAAAAUCUAUUGGUGUCAACCUUGGUGGAAUCAAAUGUCUAGUUGAAAGUCAAUAUGUCUCCAACCAUGAUUUCCUUGAGGAUGAGCUUGUGGCGUGGUGGGCUGCUACCUCAAGGAGUGGUGGCAAGUUGCCUUCCAAAGAAGAUUUAAGAUUGAAAGUUGAAGAGAAGAAAAUGUUAGGAUUUUAGGCAUAACUCAAUUGCAGAUGAGUUUGGAGUCGCUUCUUAUACAAAUGUAAAGUUAGAAGCGAUGCCAAAGGUCUACCAGCCUAUCUUCUUGCAUUACGAGAUAAAGACUCAGCCACCAAGUUACCGACUCAACGACAUACCUGUAACAAACGAACGUUUCAGAACAUAUGUUUUUAACAGUGCCUCUUCAAAGUCCAUAUUCCCUGA